RNAcentral lists this ribosomal RNA (350 nucleotides) under uncultured Chlorophyta. Its description in RNAcentral is "SSU rRNA". It matches the Rfam family "Bacterial small subunit ribosomal RNA", at positions 524 to 871 of the family's 1533-position model. Lineage: Eukaryota; Viridiplantae; Chlorophyta. The record is from RNAcentral.
UACGGGGGAUGCAAGCGUUAUCCGGAAUGAUUGGGCGUAAAGCGUCUGUAGGUGGCUUCACAAGUCAACUGUCAAAAAUCAGGGCUUAACCUUGAGCCGGCAGUUGAAACUAUGGAGCUUGAGUUAGGUAGGGGCAGAGGGAAUUCCUAGUGUAGCGGUGAAAUGCGUAGAUAUUAGGAAGAACACCGAUCGCGAAAGCACUCUGCUGGGCUAUGACUGACACUGAGAGACGAAAGCUAAGGGAGCAAAUGGGAUUAGAUACCCCAGUAGUCUUAGCCGUAAACGAUGGAUACUAAGUUCUGGUCGAUUCAAAACCGCUCAGUUCUGUAGCUAACGCGUUAAGUAUCCCG